CCGAAUUCGUCGACAACAGAGUUUGAUCCUGGCUCAGGACGAACGCUGGCGGCGUGCCUAAUACAUGCAAGUCGAGCGGACUUGACAGAGCUUGCUCUGUUCAAGUUAGCGGCGGACGGGUGAGUAACACGUGGGCAACCUGCCCUGCAGAUUGGGAUAACUCCGGGAAACCGGGGCUAAUACCGAAUAACAUUGGAAACCUCAUGGUUUCCUUUUGAAAGGCGGCUUCGGCUGUCACUGCAGGAUGGGCCCGCGGCGCAUUAGCUAGUUGGUGAGGUAACGGCUCACCAAGGCAACGAUGCGUAGCCGACCUGAGAGGGUGAUCGGCCACACUGGGACUGAGACACGGCCCAGACUCCUACGGGAGGCAGCAGUAGGGAAUCUUCCGCAAUGGACGAAAGUCUGACGGAGCAACGCCGCGUGAGUGAAGAAGGUUUUCGGAUCGUAAAACUCUGUUGUCAGGGAAGAACAAGUACGGGAGUAACUGCCCGUACCUUGACGGUACCUGGCCAGAAAGCCACGGCUAACUACGUGCCAGCAGCCGCGGUAAUACGUAGGUGGCAAGCGUUGUCCGGAAUUAUUGGGCGUAAAGCGCGCGCAGGCGGUCUUUUAAGUCUGAUGUGAAAGCCCACGGCUCAACCGUGGAGGGUCAUUGGAAACUGGAAGACUUGAGUGCAGAAGAGAAGAGCGGAAUUCCACGUGUAGCGGUGAAAUGCGUAGAGAUGUGGAGGAACACCAGUGGCGAAGGCGGCUCUUUGGUCUGUAACUGACGCUGAGGCGCGAA
RNAcentral lists this ribosomal RNA (784 nucleotides) under Bacillus sp. 'Mali 58'. RNAcentral describes it as "partial 16S ribosomal RNA". It matches the Rfam family "Bacterial small subunit ribosomal RNA", at positions 1 to 757 of the family's 1533-position model. Lineage: Bacteria; Bacillati; Bacillota; Bacilli; Caryophanales; Bacillaceae. The record is from RNAcentral.